AUAAACCUUAUGAAUUUUUGUAGAUACAGAACUUGAUUCAUUGUAUAUAAUUAUGCUAUUUCCCUCAAUUAUCCAUAUGCAUAAUGCAAUGCAAAUGGGUAAGUAGUCAGUUAAACUAAGGGCUUGAUUGGUUCUCCCUCUGCCACCCGCAAACGCAGCGUUUGCGGGUGGUAGCGGUUGUUAGCGAUUGGCACCAAUCAUAUAAACCGCUAGAUAUCGCUUUGGACCGCUCGAAAUCGCCAGAUUUCAAAAGCUCCUUCCCGCAAGCGUUUGCGGUUGCGGGCGGUAGCGGUUAGGUUAAAAAAAAA
This 308-nucleotide small RNA is filed under the name Arabidopsis thaliana (thale cress). Its description in RNAcentral is "ATSL232800". Lineage: Eukaryota; Viridiplantae; Streptophyta; Magnoliopsida; Brassicales; Brassicaceae. The record is from RNAcentral.